AAGUCGUAACAAGGUUUCCGUAGGUGAACCUGCGGAAGGAUCAUUAACACGUAGUCCCUUUUCAACCCCUGUGAACUUGUCUGCAAGGUGUGCGAGCUUUGAUGGCCUAAAUCAGCCGCCGUAUGUUGACUAGGCUGUUGCCAAAUGCUUGUUGGUCUGCGUGACUUAGCUGCACGAGGCAUCUCCACACUGCAGUACGGCCCCCUUUUUUUGACGUUUACUAAUUGAACUAACUUGUUGCAGAAGAAUCCAGGAACUGCGGUUCUUUGGCUGCUUCUUCUGAUUUGCAAAACUGUUACAACUCUUAGCAACGGAUAUCUUGGCUCUC
This 328-nucleotide unclassified non-coding RNA is filed under the name fungal sp. RNAcentral's name for it is "partial internal transcribed spacer region". The stretch from base 1 to 46 matches the Rfam family "Eukaryotic small subunit ribosomal RNA", at positions 1786 to 1831 of the family's 1831-position model. The record is from RNAcentral. Lineage: Eukaryota; Fungi.